AGAGUUUGAUCAUGGCUCAGGACGAACGCUGACGGUGUGCUUUAGGCAUGCAAGUCGAACGAGAAAGCCCUUCGGGGUGAGUAGAGUGGCGAACGGGUGAGUAACACGUGGGCAACCUGCCCCUCGCAGGGGGAUAACCGGAGGAAACUCCGGCUAAUACCCCGUAAGCUUUCAGGGUCGCAUGGCCCUGUAAGGAAAGGUAGCUUCGGCCAUCCGGCGAGGGAUGGGCCCGCGGUGCAUUAGCUAGUUGGUGGGGUAACGGCCCACCAAGGCGACGAUGCGUAGCUGGUCUGAGAGGAUGAUCAGCCACACUGGGACUGAGACACGGCCCAGACUCCUACGGGAGGCAGCAGCCAGGAAUCUUGGGCAAUGGGCGAAAGCCUGACCCAGCAACACCGUGUGGGCGAUGAAGGCCUUCGGGUCGUAAAGCCCUGUUGAUAGGGACGAAGGGCGAAGGGUUAAUAGCCCCUAGCCUGACGGUACCUUUCGAGGAAGCCCCGGCUAACUACGUGCCAGCAGCCGCGGUAAUACGUAGGGGGCGAGCGUUGUCCGGAAUUAUUGGGCGUAAAGAGCGUGUAGGCGGUUCGGUAAGUCUGCCGUGAAAACCUGAGGCUCAACCUCGGGCGUGCGGUGGAUACUGCCGGACUAGAGGACGGUAGAGGCGAGUGGAAUUCCCGGUGUAGCGGUGAAAUGCGCAGAUAUCGGGAGGAACACCAGUAGCGAAGGCGGCUCGCUGGGCCGUUCCUGACGCUGAGACGCGAAAGCUAGGGGAGCGAACAGGAUUAGAUACCCCCGUAGUCC
Molecule: ribosomal RNA, 801 nt
Filed under: uncultured Rubrobacter sp.
Lineage: Bacteria; Bacillati; Actinomycetota; Rubrobacteria; Rubrobacterales; Rubrobacteraceae
Description: bacterial SSU rRNA
Rfam family: Bacterial small subunit ribosomal RNA
Source: RNAcentral